ACCGGCAGCUCAAGUGGUGGCCAUUAUUAUUGGGCCUAAAGCGUUCGUAGCCGGUUUGAUAAGUCUCUGGUGAAAUCCCGCAGCUUAACUGUGGGACUUGCUGGAGAUACUAUCAGACUUGAGGUCGGGAGAGGUUAGGUGUACUCCCAGGGGAGGGGUGAAAUCCUAUAAUCCUGGGAGGACCACCUAUGGCGAAGGCGCCUAACUGGAACGAACCUGACGGUGAGUAACCAAAGCCAUGGGCGCGAACCA
This 252-nucleotide ribosomal RNA is filed under the name uncultured prokaryote. Its description in RNAcentral is "partial 16S rRNA". It matches the Rfam family "Archaeal small subunit ribosomal RNA", at positions 475 to 726 of the family's 1478-position model. The record is from RNAcentral.